GACACAAAACAGAAAUGCUGCUCUGCAGAUGAGUAGACACAGCUUUGUGCCAGACAGGAUGCAUGAAGCAGCCCUACAGGUGCCUUAAGACAGUAGCAUCACAGUGUAGGCAUGAUGCGGAGCUCGUGUAAUCAUUGAAUCAUAGAAUGGUUUGGCUUGGAAGGGGCCCUAAAGAUCAUCUAGUUCCAACCCCCCUGCCAUGGGCAGGGACACCUCUCACUAGACCAGGAUGCUCAAGGCCCUAUCUAGCCUGGCCUUGAACAUUUCCAGGGGCACCUACAACUUCCCUGGGCGACCUGUUCCAGUGUCUCAGCACCCUCAUAGUGAAGAAAUUCUUCCUAAUAUCUAUAUGUCUCCCCUCUUCCAGUUUGAAGUCAUUACCCCUCAUCCUAUCAGUACAUGCCCUUGUAAAAAGUUCUUCUCCAGCUUUCUUCUAGGCGCCCUUCAGAUAUUGGAAGGCUGCUAAAAGGUCUCUCUGAAACCUUCUCUUCUCCAGGCUGAACAGCCCCAACUUUCUCACCCUGUCUUCAUAGGAGAGAUGCUCCAGGCCUUUGAUCAUCUUUGUGGCCCUCCUUUGGACUGUCUCCAACAGGUCCAUGUCCUUCUUGUGCUGAAUACUCCAAAGCUGGAUGCAGUACUCCAAAGCUGGAUGCAGUACUCCAAAGCUGGAUGCAGUACUCCAAAGCUGGAUGCAGUACUCCAAAGCUGGAUGCAGUACUCCAAAGCUGGAUGCAGUACUCCAAAGCUGGAUGCAGUACUCCAAAGCUGGAUGCAGUACUCCAAAGCUGGAUGCAGUACUCCAAAGCUGGAUGCAGUACUCCAGGAUGUUACUUAUUCUGCCCUGAACUAUAGAGGAAUACAUGUUAGUAAUUUAACUGGGAAACGUUGUGAGUUUAAAUCUCAAGAAGGAUCAGGACCUGGGCAAUAUGAAGUAACUCAGAAAAUAACAAUUUUGGAAUAAACAGGGAAACUGCAGUGCAUUAUGAAAACAUCAACAACAAAAAAGAAGGCAAGAAAAAAUAUGACCUCUUCAUCCCACAGUACCAUGAAAUAAUAGAAUUACAGGAAGAAAAGGAGAGAGACUUCCCUCACUGGAGCUUCCCCACUGCAACUCUCUGACCCUUGUUCACUGCCUGAAUUGAUGAACGGUUGGAUUUGCAUCAAUACUUUGCUCAUAAGUAGUUGGCUUUUGUGAUGCCAUCACCUUCAUGUGGAAAUUGGUAGAAUGAGUUAAAUUGUCACUAGCUUUUGUGUUAAUCAUUAUUAAAAAAAAAAAAAAAUCCAUUAACUUGUAGUCUGUUCACCAUAGAAACUUCCUUCCUACACUUCUGUCAGGUUGUAUUAUUUAGAAAGUACGAAUAAAUGUAGAGUUUUGCAACUGGUAGCUAUUUCCUUGAAGUUUUUUUUGGGUUUACUGUUAGUGUCAGAGGUCAUGUGUUUAUAAAUCACUAUGAAUGUUGUGAACUUUUAUUUUUCUGGGUAAUAAAAGUAAUGAAUUUCUCAUAAAGUUUUCAUGUCAGCUUUUAAGGUUGUCCAAAGAAAAGUAAUAGAAGCAUAUACGUAUGUAUAUAUAUCCUUUUUUCUUUUAAUGGGAGAAGACAACAUUAAAGUGUGUGUGUAUUAAGGAGUGUGACAGAUAUAUCCUAGUAAGACUAAUGAUUACCUGAAAUACUUUUCUUUGCUUUUGAAGCUUAACCCUUUUGCUCAUCAAUCAGUCAGCAGUGGCAGGUAGUGACCAUUAGGUGGAUUCAUUAGCACCCUGCAGCCUUCUUGUACAGGGUGACCCACAUCUGUCUUCAUUAGAAGUUUGCUACUUGCCAGUAGUGAACAGAUGGGUCAUUAUAGCCUACAUCGCCCUCUGGGCAUACCUGGAGGACGGGCAAAGUCGUCCGAUACAGGACACAGAUGCAUAUUUACUUGAUAGAAAUGGGGCAAGAUAUUUCUGAUAAGUGUAAUAAUGUUAGGCUUUUCCUCAAACUAGAUACCUUAUACUUAAAGGUUUUAUUAUUUUUCUGUCUGAUAGCAGCUUUAUGAACAUGAAAGUAUGGCUAAAAUAGAGACUUGAAUUACUGAUGACCAUCUCUUAACAAAAUAUUAUAGAGUACAACAUAUAGCAAAGCUCAAUUGUUAAUUAGUAUUUUCAUUUGAACUCUAGGUGCCAUUUUCAAUGUCUCAUUUUCCUCUUCUACAACCAGAA
This is a long non-coding RNA of Chroicocephalus ridibundus (black-headed gull), 2197 nucleotides long. RefSeq lists it as uncharacterized. Lineage: Eukaryota; Metazoa; Chordata; Aves; Charadriiformes; Laridae. The transcript is spliced from 4 exons. The record is from RefSeq and is a predicted model, not a curated record.